Molecule: ribosomal RNA, 292 nt
Filed under: uncultured bacterium
Lineage: Bacteria
Description: partial 16S ribosomal RNA
Rfam family: Bacterial small subunit ribosomal RNA
Source: RNAcentral
GUGCCAGCAGCCGCGGUAAUACGUAGGGGGCAAGCGUUGUCCGGAUUUAUUGGGCGUAAAGAGCGUGUAGGCGGCCAUACAGGUCCGUUGUGAAAACUGGAGGCUUAACCUCCAGACGUCGAUGGAAACCGUAUGGCUAGAGUCCGGAAGAGGAGAGUGGAAUUCCUGGUGUAGCGGUGAAAUGCGCAGAUAUCAGGAAGAACACCCGUGGCGAAGGCGGCUCUCUGGGACGGUACUGACGCUGAGACGCGAAAGCGUGGGGAGCGAACAGGAUUAGAUACCCUGGUAGUCC